UUCAUAUAGUUUUAAACCAAAC
RNAcentral lists this transfer RNA (22 nucleotides) under Trionyx triunguis (African softshell turtle). Its description in RNAcentral is "partial tRNA-His". The record is from RNAcentral. Lineage: Eukaryota; Metazoa; Chordata; Testudines; Trionychidae.